UCGAUCGUAAACGUCAGUUAUCGCUGCUC
RNAcentral lists this small RNA (29 nucleotides) under Bombyx mori (domestic silkworm). RNAcentral's name for it is "ovarian small RNA-28459". The record is from RNAcentral. Lineage: Eukaryota; Metazoa; Arthropoda; Insecta; Lepidoptera; Bombycidae.